RNAcentral lists this non-coding RNA (29 nucleotides) under Bombyx mori (domestic silkworm). Lineage: Eukaryota; Metazoa; Arthropoda; Insecta; Lepidoptera; Bombycidae. The record is from RNAcentral.
CCCGAGGAAAACAUCACCCACUUGAUUGA